Molecule: ribosomal RNA, 460 nt
Filed under: uncultured bacterium
Lineage: Bacteria
Description: partial 16S ribosomal RNA
Rfam family: Bacterial small subunit ribosomal RNA
Source: RNAcentral
CCUACGGGUGGCAGCAGUGAGGAAUAUUGGUCAAUGGACGAGAGUCUGAACCAGCCAAGUAGCGUGAAGGAUGACUGCCCUAUGGGUUGUAAACUUCUUUUAUAAAGGAAUAAAACGAGGCACGUGUGCCUUUUUGCAUGUACUUUAUGAAUAGGGAUCGGCUAACUCCGUGCCAGCAGCCGCGGUAAUACGGAGGAUCCGAGCGUUAUCCGGAUUUAUUGGGGUUAAAGGGAGCGUAGAUGGGUUGUUAAGUCAGUUGUGAAAGUUUGCGGCUCAACCGUAAAAUUGCAAUUGAUACUGGCAGUCUUGAGUACAGUUGAGGUAGGCGGAAUUCGUGGUGUAGCGGUGAAAUGCUUAGAUAUCACGAAGAACCCCAAUUGCGAAGGCAGCUUACUAAACUGUGACUGACAUUGAUGCUCGAAAGUGUGGGUAGCAAACAGGAUUAGAUACCCUAGUAGUC